Molecule: transfer RNA, 74 nt
Filed under: Thalassotalea sp. ND16A
Lineage: Bacteria; Pseudomonadati; Pseudomonadota; Gammaproteobacteria; Alteromonadales; Colwelliaceae
Rfam family: tRNA
About the family: Transfer RNA (tRNA) molecules are approximately 80 nucleotides in length. Their secondary structure includes four short double-helical elements and three loops (D, anti-codon, and T loops).
Source: Rfam by way of RNAcentral
GCGCCCUUAGCUCAGCUGGAUAGAGCAACGCCCUUCUAAGGCGUGGGUCGCAGGUUCGAAUCCUGCAGGGCGUG